RNAcentral lists this long non-coding RNA (1109 nucleotides) under Chinchilla lanigera (long-tailed chinchilla). Its description in RNAcentral is "lncRNA (ENSCLAG00000025365.1)". Lineage: Eukaryota; Metazoa; Chordata; Mammalia; Rodentia; Chinchillidae. The record is from RNAcentral.
GUUCUCCAGACAGGACCACUGGUGCCGUCCGUCUGUGCCCUGCUGGGCUCUGACCGCUUUCCCACGAAAGUGCACACACCCAGGCCCAGCGCAUCUCCAGGCUCAGUGAGCUGUGUCGGUGUUGCUCUGUGUGAAUGUUCGCUUGGCGUGUGUUUCCGCUUUGCGUCUAGGUCAUUCAUUACUGGACGGUGUGGAAUAAAUACUGGGAAAUGCAAGUUAGAAGUAAGUUCAGGGAGUUUCAUCUGAAAUUACAGCAGAAGCCAAGAGAGAUUCGCCAAAGCUUCCACGUCAUUAGACAGAGACAUUAGUGACCACUGCCGAGGGGUAAAGAGAGCGGAUAUAGAGGAUGUAGACUGCACACCAAGGGCAUCAGAGGCAGUGGCAGUUGACUGUACGUCCUGCCAGCCUGCUAUUCUAUUUGACCUGGUGAAAUGCACUGCCAAAAAUGCCUGCUCAGGCUGGGGACAAAGCUCGGUGGAUGAUGCCUGAGGCCUGGGGUUCCUCCCAGCACCGCCAAAGAGUGAAUAAGUGAAUAGCCUGCUCUUUGCCUCAUAUAGCAUUGAGCAAAUAUUCAGUAUAUGCUGUUUUUUAUUUCUGUAACAGAUUUAUCUCAUUACACAACAAGAGAAAUCGAAGUCAUCCAUAGAAAGAUCAAAAUAGAGAACAAGAGACUAAAACACCGUUGCAGUGAAUUAGAAGAAAAAUAUGAAGCCUCAGAGCUGCAGAUAACACAAAUAUUGACCAUCUACAGACACCAGUUGCAGCAGAAAGAGGUCGAAAUCAGCCUGCUGAAGGCAAGAGAGGGUGCACUGCAGGAAGAGCUGCUGAAGCUGCAGCAAGCCACUCAGGCGGUGCCCUUAGGGACCGACGGUGCACCAGCACCCACUGAGUCAUCUUAUGCCACCUACGGGACCCAUCAUGGUGCUUCAGCUGGCUAUGACGAGGACAUGGACUUUGAAGACCUGAUUUCCUGUCAACAACAAAUUAACCGUCUGACCAAUGAAGUCUCAAGACUUCAAUCUGAUGUGGGCCAUUGGAGGCGCAUUGCCCAGGUAGGUGAAUCUGCGUGAGUUUAAAAAGCUAGAAGUGAGUACGAAUAGCGGUGCUGU